GAGAGAGACAGCGAGGGAUAGAGAGAAAUAGUUAGACAGCAAUGUAGCAAUGUAACCUGAUCAUUGGCAACCAUCGUAUUUUCAAGUAUAUCCAAUCGAUCAACAUUCAUCCCUGAAGUUUCCUCUGGGUUCACUCCCACAUUUCAGAUAUCGUUUUCAUUAAGUUGAGACCUCAACGUCAGAAAGGCCUAUCUGUCAUUCUACCUGGCACGUCACCUUAACCUCCGUUAUAUACGGGAGUGACCAACGGAAAGAUCGCCAGUUACACUUGUUUUGAGGUCAUCUUUUCAGUUGUCCUUAGAACUCGUAAAAAACGGAAACAAUUUCCAAGAGAGGACACAGUACUGUAUCUCCUGCUUCACCGAGGUUGUUAAAGGAAGAGGAAAAGGCUUCAGAACUGAACGAACACAGAUCUUCUACAGACAGAGAGACGAGAUCAGAAAGCGGACACACAGCUCCAGAGUGGUAGUAUACAAACAGUCAAAGGAAAUCUAGUUGCCACAUCUAGAAAUGGCAGAGGUAAAACAACUGAACAUAUUGCCCCCCCUCAUCCCCUACCCUGAGGGGAUGACAGAUGAAAAGGAAAAGAAAAAAGAGACAUUUUGCAGGGAAAUCCUGAGACUUUAUAUCGUGAUGAAAGAAAACAGGCUCCAUGCGACCUCAUUUUCUACACAACAAAUGUUUCUACAUGGGAAGAGGAAAUACUGAAACACUAUCCUGAGGGAAAACAGUGGAGAAAAAUUAAAGAUGGCAAACAACUGAAAACGAAGGCAGGCACUAUAAAUGUGUAUGAUACUGGGAUAAUCAUGGUGCAGGGUAAUAGUGAGACGUUAAUGAUAUUCCCAAAUGAUUUCCCAGCCUUGAGCGAGAGAGUGAGAAAGAGUGUCAAGAGCAAGCGUGUCGAGGCGAGUGAGCGUGUCGAAGAGAAAAUGGCAGAGCUAGGCAUUGAGGAAAGAGGAGAGCAGAGGAAAAGAGAGAGCGAGGACAUAAAAGAGGAAGACAUAAAGGUGGAAAUAAAGGAAGAGGAGGAAGGAGGAAAAGGGAAGCACUGAACAUUCCAGGGCAGAUCAGAAGAGAAACAUUAUUUUACGGGAUGUAUAAUUUGAUGAACAGUUAUGCUAUAGCCUGCUGUUCCUCUCACCUUAUUUCAUGUAUUUCUUAUCUGUUGUAUCUUUUACCUUUUAAUGUUUGUGUUUUUUAUUGAGCUUGUAUGAAAAAUGCAUUCAUAAGUGCUCACCAUCAUCAUUAUCUUGUUUUGGUUAUAGUUUAGCACUUUCCCAAUGAUAAAGGUGCUUAAAGCAAAAAGGUGGUGAAUUUCCCCAGCAAUAUGUGUUUCAUUUUGUUUCAAAAUGUGUGCUCUAAAAUGUAUCAUGAUUUUUUAAAUGCACUUCUAAUAAAGUUUGAUUUAACAAGU
Molecule: long non-coding RNA, 1414 nt
Organism: Oncorhynchus keta (chum salmon)
Lineage: Eukaryota; Metazoa; Chordata; Actinopteri; Salmoniformes; Salmonidae
Exons: 2
Source: RefSeq, a predicted model, not a curated record